RNAcentral lists this ribosomal RNA (482 nucleotides) under uncultured bacterium. Its description in RNAcentral is "partial 16S ribosomal RNA". It matches the Rfam family "Bacterial small subunit ribosomal RNA", at positions 30 to 507 of the family's 1533-position model. The record is from RNAcentral.
AUUGAACGCUGGCGGCAUGCUUUACACAUGCAAGUCGAACGGUAACAGGCCGCAAGGUGCUGACGAGUGGCGAACGGGUGAGUAAUGCAUCGGAACGUGCCCAGUCGUGGGGGAUAACUACUCGAAAGAGUAGCUAAUACCGCAUACGAUCUAUGGGUGAAAGCGGGGGACCGUAAGGCCUCGCGCGAUUGGAGCGGCCGAUGUCAGAUUAGGUAGUUGGUGGGGUAAAGGCUCACCAAGCCAACGAUCUGUAGCUGGUCUGAGAGGACGACCAGCCACACUGGAACUGAGACACGGCCCAGACUCCUACGGGAGGCAGCAGUGGGGAAUUUUGGACAAUGGGCGCAAGCCUGAUCCAGCAAUGCCGCGUGCAGGAAGAAGGCCUUCGGGUUGUAAACUGCUUUUGUACGGAACGAAACGGCUCUGGUUAAUACCCGGGGCUAAUGACGGUACCGGAAGAAUAAGCACCGGCUAACUACGUG